Acanthaster planci (crown-of-thorns starfish) is the source of this 217-nucleotide long non-coding RNA. The record is from RefSeq and is a predicted model, not a curated record. NCBI's taxonomy places the organism in Eukaryota, Metazoa, Echinodermata, Asteroidea, Valvatida, Acanthasteridae.
UUUUUUGUCCAGUCGCAUGCCGUGUGCAACUAUUUGUUGAUGCUGCAUUGCAGGCGUUAGCUAUUGCGUCUACGGUAUCCGUCUACACAGAAGCUACCUUGUCGCUCAGAGUCUGGUGUUCAGCAGCAACGUUUAUUUAGCAACCAUGAAGUGGACCUUGAUGUUCGUCUGUGUUCUUGUUUGCCUUGUCGAUGGAAUUGCGGCAUUGAAUUGCUAU